Molecule: ribosomal RNA, 229 nt
Filed under: uncultured bacterium
Lineage: Bacteria
Description: partial 16S ribosomal RNA
Rfam family: Bacterial small subunit ribosomal RNA
Source: RNAcentral
AGUGUAGGCGGUUACUUAAGUCGGAUGUGAAAGCCCUGGGCUCAACCUGGGAAUGGCAUUCGAUACUGGGUAACUAGAGUUUGGUAGAGGUAAGUGGAAUUCCGGGUGUAGCGGUGAAAUGCGUAGAUAUCCGGAGGAACAUCAGUGGCGAAGGCGGCUUACUGGACCAAAACUGACCCUGAGGCUCGAAAGCGUGGGGAGCAAACAGGAUUAGAUACCCUGGUAGUCC